AAGCGCUUGUGACCAGACUUGGGCGCGGCGGAUCAUCCGGGGUUCUCCCCGGUGCACUUCGCCGUGUUCAGGCCAGCAUCAGUUCGUCGCGGGGGAUAAAGGCUUCGGGAACGUGGCUCCUCCGGGAGUGUUAUAGCCCG
Molecule: ribosomal RNA, 140 nt
Filed under: Trichoderma deliquescens
Lineage: Eukaryota; Fungi; Ascomycota; Sordariomycetes; Hypocreales; Hypocreaceae
Description: partial large subunit ribosomal RNA
Source: RNAcentral